CCUACGGGGGGCAGCAGUGGGGAAUAUUGGACAAUGGGGGCAACCCUGAUCCAGCCAUGCCGCGUGUGUGAAGAAGGCCCUCGGGUUGUAAAGAACUUUCAGUGAGGAAGAACGCCUGGUGGUUAAUACCCAUCAGGAAAGACAUCACUCACAGAAGAAGCACCGGCUAACUCCGUGCCAGCAGCCGCGGUAAUACGGAGGGUGCGAGCGUUAAUCGGAAUUACUGGGCGUAAAGCGCGCGUAGGUGGCUUGAUAAGCCGGUUGUGAAAGCCCCGGGCUCAACCUGGGAACGGCAUCCGGAACUGUCAAGCUAGAGUGCAGGAGAGGAAGGUAGAAUUCCCGGUGUAGCGGUGAAAUGCGUAGAGAUCGGGAGGAAUACCAGUGGCGAAGGCGGCCUUCUGGACUGACACUGACACUGAGGUGCGAAAGCGUGGGUAGCAAACAGGAUUAGAUACCCGAGUAGUC
This 465-nucleotide ribosomal RNA is filed under the name Vreelandella stevensii. RNAcentral's name for it is "partial 16S ribosomal RNA". It matches the Rfam family "Bacterial small subunit ribosomal RNA", at positions 338 to 795 of the family's 1533-position model. Lineage: Bacteria; Pseudomonadati; Pseudomonadota; Gammaproteobacteria; Oceanospirillales; Halomonadaceae. The record is from RNAcentral.